UGGGGAAUAUUGCACAAUGGGCGCAAGCCUGAUGCAGCCAUGCCGCGUGUAUGAAGAAGGCCUUCGGGUUGUAAAGUACUUUCAGCGGGGAGGAAGGCGAUAAGGUUAAUAACCUUGUCGAUUGACGUUACCCGCAGAAGAAGCACCGGCUAACUCCGUGCCAGCAGCCGCGGUAAUACGGAGGGUGCAAGCGUUAACCGGAAUUACUGGGCGUAAAGCGCACGCAGGCGGUCUGUCAAGUCGGAUGUGAAAUCCCCGGGCUCAACCUGGGAACUGCAUUCGAAACUGGCAGGCUAGAGUCUUGUAGAGGGGGGUAGAAUUCCAGGUGUAGCGGUGAAAUGCGUGGAGAUCUGGAGGAAUACCGGUGGCGAAGGCGGCCCCCUGGACAAAGGCUGACGCUCAGGUGCGAAAGCGUGGGGAGCAAACA
RNAcentral lists this ribosomal RNA (427 nucleotides) under uncultured bacterium. Its description in RNAcentral is "partial 16S ribosomal RNA". It matches the Rfam family "Bacterial small subunit ribosomal RNA", at positions 355 to 774 of the family's 1533-position model. The record is from RNAcentral.